CGGGCUGAGGAACACGUGGGUAUCUGCCUGGCAGUGGGGGAUAACGGGUCGAAAGGUCCGCUAAACCCGCAUACGUUCCCUCUUCGGAGGGAAGAAAGCAGCAAUGCGCUGCCAGAGGAGCCUGCGGCCCAUCAGAUAGUUGGCGGGGUAAUGGCCCACCAAGUCGAUGACGGGUCCCUGGUCUGAGAGGACGACCAGGCAGACUGGGACUGAGACACGGCCCAG
This 225-nucleotide ribosomal RNA is filed under the name uncultured bacterium. RNAcentral describes it as "partial 16S ribosomal RNA". It matches the Rfam family "Bacterial small subunit ribosomal RNA", at positions 104 to 334 of the family's 1533-position model. The record is from RNAcentral.